CGAACGGCUCCGUAUAUCGGUUGCAACCCGGGGGGGUAGUGAGGUGCUGUGUAAGUGAGCGAUGCCUCGAAGGAUAUCCGAGGCAAUUCUUUGGCAUAAUACUUAUUUAAAAUCCCGCUGCGUUUGAGGGGAAGCCUGCGCCAGCAGGCUUGGGGCCGCGGGGCCCUUAAAAGCUCCGCGGUAACUUUGUAGCUCGCGGUCCGCCCUCACGGGCUCCGCUUGCACCUCCUCCGGUUGGACUCAAGUUGGGGGCCGCCCCCCCACACGAAUGAGGACGGGAGAAUCGUGGCUCCCGGACUCCUUAAGCUCACAGACCCACGAUGAAUCAGGGGGUGCCUACCAUACUGGCUAACCAGAUGGCCAGAGCGCCCCCCGGGCUUCUGCCCUAUCAACUAUACAGCGCGGGACCGCCCCCCGGUGGUGACAACGGGUACAGAGGAUCAGGGUUCGAUCCUGGAGAGGAAGCCUUAAAGAUCGCUUCCACUUCUAAGGAAGGCAGCAGGCGCGCAACGUUCCCAAUGGGGGCACCCUGAGGACGUGAAGGGACGUAACAAUGCCCGCCCCAUAAAGGCGGGCAAUUGAGAUGGGGUCGUUUUAAAUCCCCUACCGAGUAACAAUUGGAGGACAAGUCUGGUGCCAGCACCCGCGGUAAUUCCAGCUCCGAUAGCAUCUUGUUGAGUUGUUGCAGUUAAAACGCUCGUAGUCCGAGUGUGCACCCCCCUCCCGGCAACCGGCCGGUGCUCGUGUUUCUUGGAUUUGCGCCCUCUCUGCUCUCCUUCGGGAUUGCGGCUUGGGAAUUGCGUCCAGGGGAUCGACCCGCGUUGGUCCGUGGGGCGGGGGUGCAUACUGAUCCGGAACCGGAUAGGGGGGCCAUGUACUUGGUCCCCCCCUGUACGCCCGGGUCGUAUUACUUUGAGUAAAUUAGAGCGCUCAAAGCAGGUCAUCUGCGGAGGACCUUAAGGAAAACCACCGAAUAUCACAGCAAAGAAUAAUGGAGUAGGCCUAGCCAUGUCCAUUGGUCGUGGUAGAGGAAUGGUCAAUUGGGGGGAUCGGGGUGGACCACAUGCACGGGGUAGGGGUGAAAUCCGUUGAUCCUGUGUAGGUGCCCAAGAGCGAAAGCAGUCCACUAGUACCCUUUCUUUGAUCAAGAACGAAAGUCUGGGGAGCGAAGAUGAUCAGAUACCAUCGUAGUCCAGACCCUAAAUGAUGCCGACUUUGGAUCGGGGACCGCCCCUCUGGCAGCCUAGGCACCAUGUGAGAAAUCAGUAGUGUCUGGGCUCUGGGGGGAGUAUGGUCGCAAGACUGAAACUUAAAGGAAUUGACGGAAGAGCACACAAGGAGUGGAGCCUGCGGCUUAAUUUGACUCAACACGGGGAAACUCACAGAAGCCGGAAAUGGUUGUGAUUGUCCGCCCUACAGGGGCUGCUUGAUUUUAUUAGUGGUGGUGCAUGGUCGUUCUUAGUUCGUGGAGUGAUUUGUCUGGUUUAUUCCGCUAACGAGCGAGAACCCCUUCUUCCAUAGUUGCGUGCAGGGUGGCCGCCUGGGGAGUGCCGUUUCAUUUGCUGCGGUGGGGCGUGUAAGGAGCCGUUGUGGGUGGUGAGGUCAAGGGCCGCUGGAGGUGGUGGGGUUCGCGCCCUGCCGCUAAAGGUGGAUUCCUGGCUUUGCUAGCUGCAGCGGCCACCUGCUCGCUAUUCCAAACUGCCACAGUCGGGUGAUUCUGGCGCGAGCCUGGCUGAAAACGUGCCAUCAGGCCGGACCUUGGGGAACAGCCCAGAACAACUGGGCUGUAGCGGGGUCAAUAACAGGUCAGUGAUGCCCUUAGAUGCUUCUGGCUGCACGCGCGCUACACUGGGGGGGUGAGCGGGCUCUCCCGCACCGAGAGGUGGUGGGGAACCCUGUGAAACCCCCCCGUGUCUGGGAUCGUUGGGUGCAAAAACCCUUCGUGAACAAGGAAUUUCUAGUAAUCGCAGGUCACAAGCCUGCGGUGAUUUCGUCCCUGCUCUUUGUACACACCGCCCGUCGCUCCUACCGAUUGGGUUGCCUGGUGAACCACAUGGAGGCGGCUGUUGGAGGCCUUCCCCAGGGAAGGCCUGUCCCGAAAGGGCGGCAACGGCCAUUUUCAUGCCGAAGUGUGGUGAACCUCGCGACCUAGAGGAAGGAGAAGUCGUA
Molecule: ribosomal RNA, 2169 nt
Filed under: Calomyxa metallica
Lineage: Eukaryota; Evosea; Eumycetozoa; Trichiida; Dianemataceae
Description: partial 18S ribosomal RNA
Rfam family: Eukaryotic small subunit ribosomal RNA
Source: RNAcentral